Molecule: ribosomal RNA, 253 nt
Filed under: uncultured bacterium
Lineage: Bacteria
Description: partial 16S ribosomal RNA
Rfam family: Bacterial small subunit ribosomal RNA
Source: RNAcentral
UACGUAGGGUGCAAGCGUUAAUCGGAAUUACUGGGCGUAAAGCGCACGUAGGCGGAUCGAUCAGUCAGGGGUGAAAUCCCAGAGCUCAACUCUGGAACUGCCUUUGAUACUGUCGAUCUGGAGUAUGGAAGAGGUGAGUGGAAUUCCGAGUGUAGAGGUGAAAUUCGUAGAUAUUCGGAGGAACACCAGUGGCGAAGGCGGCUCACUGGUCCAUUACUGACGCUGAGGUGCGAAAGCGUGGGGAGCAAACAGG